This 74-nucleotide transfer RNA is filed under the name Bos taurus (domestic cattle). It matches the Rfam family "tRNA". Rfam says of the family: Transfer RNA (tRNA) molecules are approximately 80 nucleotides in length. RNAcentral also lists the same sequence under 1 other name. The record is from Rfam by way of RNAcentral. Lineage: Eukaryota; Metazoa; Chordata; Mammalia; Artiodactyla; Bovidae.
UCCCUGGUUGUCCAGUGGUUAAGACUCUGUGCUUCCACUGCAGGGGGGCAUAGGUUCAAACCCUGAUUGGGGAA